GGGGGUGGGGGAGCUGGCUGUGACAUGUGUCACUCCAUUAUCAGCAGGUUUAUGCCAGCUGAUCUGGCUGUGCAGGUGUCCUUUCCUCACCACUCUGUCUUCCUCCCAAAGCUGCAUACAAUGGUGGAAGAAUUCUCUGGUGAAGGUUAUCUCCACAACUGUGCUCCUCUCUCGGGGCCUCCAAAAAGCUUUCACACAGGAGACUCUAAAACAUCAUACAAAGGAAAGAAAGGAAGAAAAGGAGAAGUUACAGAAUGCCACAUCAAACAUUGGCAGAGAAGUU
Molecule: small nuclear RNA, 283 nt
Filed under: Rattus norvegicus (Norway rat)
Lineage: Eukaryota; Metazoa; Chordata; Mammalia; Rodentia; Muridae
Description: 7SK RNA
Rfam family: 7SK RNA
About the family: 7SK was discovered as an abundant small nuclear RNA in the mid-70s but a possible function has only recently been suggested. Two independent studies have found that 7SK RNA binds the CDK9/cyclin T complex (known as elongation factor P-TEFb).
Source: Rfam by way of RNAcentral